GACGUAGGGGGCCAGCGUUGCUCGGAAUUACUGGGUGUAAAGGGUUCGUAGGCGGUGUGGCAAGUCGGGAGUGAAAUCUCUGGGCUCAACCCAGAGUCUGCUUCCGAAACUGCUGUGCUUGAGUGUGGGAGAGGCGCGUGGAAUUGCAGGUGUAGCGGUGAAAUGCGUAGAUAUUGGAAAGAACACCGAUGGCGAAGGCACUCUACUGGGCUAUUACUGACACUCAGAGACGAAAGCUAGGGGAGCAAAUGGG
RNAcentral lists this ribosomal RNA (253 nucleotides) under uncultured bacterium. RNAcentral's name for it is "partial 16S ribosomal RNA". It matches the Rfam family "Bacterial small subunit ribosomal RNA", at positions 524 to 776 of the family's 1533-position model. The record is from RNAcentral.